RNAcentral lists this ribosomal RNA (320 nucleotides) under uncultured bacterium. RNAcentral's name for it is "bacterial SSU rRNA". It matches the Rfam family "Bacterial small subunit ribosomal RNA", at positions 470 to 789 of the family's 1533-position model. The record is from RNAcentral.
UGACGGUACCUGACUAAGAAGCCCCGGCUAACUACGUGCCAGCAGCCGCGGUAAUACGUAGGGGGCAAGCGUUAUCCGGAUUUACUGGGUGUAAAGGGAGCGCAGACGGCAUUGCAAGUCUGAAGUGAAAACCCGGGGCUCAACUCCGGGACUGCUUUGGAAACUGUAGCGCUAGAGUGCAGGAGAGGCAAGUGGAAUUCCUAGUGUAGCGGUGAAAUGCGUAGAUAUUAGGAGGAACACCAGUGGCGAAGGCGGCUUGCUGGACUGUAACUGACGUUGAGGCUCGAAAGCGUGGGGAGCAAACAGGAUUAGAUACCCUG